UACGUAGGGGGCAAGCGUUGUCCGGAUUUAUUGGGCGUAAAGAGCGUGUAGGCGGCCUGAAAGGUCAGCUGUGAAAACUCGAGGCUCAACCUCGAGACGUCGGUUGAAACCAUCUGGCUAGAGUCCGGAAGAGGCGAGUGGAAUUCCUGGUGUAGCGGUGGAAUGCGCAGAUAUCAGGAGGAACACCAAUAGCGAAGGCAGCUCGCUGGGACGUUACUGACACUGAGGCGCGAAAGCGUGGGGAGCGAACAGG
Molecule: ribosomal RNA, 253 nt
Filed under: uncultured bacterium
Lineage: Bacteria
Description: partial 16S ribosomal RNA
Rfam family: Bacterial small subunit ribosomal RNA
Source: RNAcentral